GAUGAACGCUGGCGGCGUGCCUAAUACAUGCAAGUCGAGCGAACAGAUAAGGAGCUUGCUCCUUUGACGUUAGCGGCGGACGGGUGAGUAACACGUGGGUAACCUACCUAUAAGACUGGGAUAACUUCGGGAAACCGGAGCUAAUACCGGAUAACAUUUGGAACCGCAUGGUUCUAAAGUGAAAGAUGGUUUUGCUAUCACUUAUAGAUGGACCCGCGCCGUAUUAGCUAGUUGGUAAGGUAACGGCUUACCAAGGCGACGAUACGUAGCCGACCUGAGAGGGUGAUCGGCCACACUGGAACUGAGACACGGUCCAGACUCCUACGGGAGGCAGCAGGAGGGAAUCUUCCGCAAUGGGCGAAAGCCUGACGGAGCAACGCCGCGUGAGUGAUGAAGGGUUUCGGCUCGUAAAACUCUGUUAUUAGGGAAGAACAAAUGUGUAAGUAACUGUGCACGUCUUGACGGUACCUAAUCAGAAAGCCACGGCUAACUACGUG
This 497-nucleotide ribosomal RNA is filed under the name uncultured bacterium. Its description in RNAcentral is "partial 16S ribosomal RNA". It matches the Rfam family "Bacterial small subunit ribosomal RNA", at positions 28 to 507 of the family's 1533-position model. The record is from RNAcentral.